Molecule: transfer RNA, 73 nt
Filed under: Halosaurus ovenii
Lineage: Eukaryota; Metazoa; Chordata; Actinopteri; Notacanthiformes; Halosauridae
Description: tRNA-Leu
Rfam family: tRNA
About the family: Transfer RNA (tRNA) molecules are approximately 80 nucleotides in length. Their secondary structure includes four short double-helical elements and three loops (D, anti-codon, and T loops).
Source: RNAcentral
GUCUUUAAAGGAUAAUAGUUCAUCCAUUGGUCUUAGGAACCAAAAACUCUUGGUGCAGCUCCAAGUAAAGACU